UACGUAGGGACCGAGCGUUGUCCGGAUUCAUUGGGCGUAAAGAGCUCGUAGGCGGCCACUCAAGUCGAAUGUGAAACCUCGAGGCUCAACCUCGAGCCUGCAUUCGAUACUGGGCGGCUAGAGUCUGGUAGGGGGAUCUGGAAUUCCUGGUGUAGCGGUGGAAUGCGCAGAUAUCAGGAGGAACACCGGUGGCGAAGGCGGGAUCCUGGGCCAGUACUGACGCUGAGGAGCGAAAGCAUGGGGAGCGAACAGG
This 253-nucleotide ribosomal RNA is filed under the name uncultured bacterium. RNAcentral's name for it is "partial 16S ribosomal RNA". It matches the Rfam family "Bacterial small subunit ribosomal RNA", at positions 524 to 776 of the family's 1533-position model. The record is from RNAcentral.